RNAcentral lists this ribosomal RNA (445 nucleotides) under uncultured bacterium. RNAcentral describes it as "bacterial SSU rRNA". It matches the Rfam family "Bacterial small subunit ribosomal RNA", at positions 335 to 799 of the family's 1533-position model. The record is from RNAcentral.
ACUCCUACGGGAGGCAGCAGUGGGGAAUAUUGCACAAUGGGCGCAAGCCUGAUGCAGCAACGCCGCGUGAGCGAUGAAGGCCUUCGGGUCGUAAAGCUCUGUCUCAAGGAAGAAUAAAUGACGGUACUUGAGGAGGAAGCCCGGCUAACUACGUGCCAGCAGCCGCGGUAAUACGUAGGGGCAAGCGUUAUCCGGAAUCACGUGGGCGUAAAGGGUGCGUAGGCGGUUUUCAAGUCAGAAGUGAAAGGCUAUGGCUCAACCAUAGUAAGCUUUUGAAACUGUUAAACUUGAGUGCAGGAGAGGAAAGUGGAAUUCCUAGUGUAGAGGUGAAAUUCGUAGAUAUUAGGAGGAACACCAGUGGCGAAGGCGACUUUCUGGACUGUAACUGACGCUGAGGCACGAAAGCGUGGGAGCGAACAGGAUUAGAUACCCUGGUAGCACAGAG